This 497-nucleotide ribosomal RNA is filed under the name uncultured bacterium. Its description in RNAcentral is "partial 16S ribosomal RNA". It matches the Rfam family "Bacterial small subunit ribosomal RNA", at positions 28 to 507 of the family's 1533-position model. The record is from RNAcentral.
GAUGAACGCUGGCGGCGUGCCUAAUACAUGCAAGUCGAGCGAACAGAUGAGGAGCUUGCUCCUCUGACGUUAGCGGCGGACGGGUGAGUAACACGUGGAUAACCUACCUAUAAGACUGGGAUAACUUCGGGAAACCGGAGCUAAUACCGGAUAAUAUAUUGAACCGCAUGGUUCAAUAGUGAAAGACGGUUUUGCUGUCACUUAUAGAUGGAUCCGCGCCGCAUUAGCUAGUUGGUAAGGUAACGGCUUACCAAGGCGACGAUGCGUAGCCGACCUGAGAGGGUGAUCGGCCACACUGGAACUGAGACACGGUCCAGACUCCUACGGGAGGCAGCAGUAGGGAAUCUUCCGCAAUGGGCGAAAGCCUGACGGAGCAACGCCGCGUGAGUGAUGAAGGUCUUCGGAUCGUAAAACUCUGUUAUUAGGGAGGAACAAAUGUGUAAGUAAAUAUGCACGUAUUGACGGUACCUAAUCAGAAAGCCACGGCUAACUACGUG